This 440-nucleotide ribosomal RNA is filed under the name uncultured bacterium. RNAcentral describes it as "partial 16S ribosomal RNA". It matches the Rfam family "Bacterial small subunit ribosomal RNA", at positions 338 to 795 of the family's 1533-position model. The record is from RNAcentral.
CCUACGGGAGGCAGCAGUAGGGAAUAUUGCUCAAUGGGGGAAACCCUGAAGCAGCAACGCCGCGUGGAGGAUGAAGGUUUUCUGAGUGGAAACUCCUUUUUUUAGAAAAGUUAAUGACAGUAUCUAACGUAUAAGCACCGGCUAACUCGGUUCCAGCAGCCGCGGUAAUACGGAGGGUGCAAGCGUUACUCGGAAUCACUGGGCGUAAAGGGCGCGUAGGCGGGUUAGUAAGUCAGAUGUGAAAUCCUAUGGCUUAACCAUAGAACUGCAUUUGAAACUGUUAUUCUAGAGUAUGGGAGAGGUAGGUGGAAUUCUUGGUGUAGCGGUAAAAUCCGUAGAGAUCAAGAGGAAUACUGAUUGCGAAGGCGACCUGCUAGAACAUAACUGACGCUGAUGCGCGAAAGCGUGGGGAGCAAACAGGAUUAGAUACCCCAGUAGUC